UUAAACUUUCUAAUCUCUAUUUUGCUUCAGUUUCUCCAGUAUUAUAUUUUGGAGGCUCCAGCGAGAUGAGAGUGAGAUUAGAGACCUUUGGGUCUCUGCCUGGAACUGUGGGGCGACUGAGAUCUGGACCUUUUGUUGGAGGGGCUAGCCCUGGUUUGUUCCAGAAUUCCCAUGAAGGACAGCAAGGCUCGUCAUGGACACCUCUAUUUUGGCCACAGGAGAAGGCUCCAGGAAGAGAGCAGUUCACCAGCUGGGGCCACACCCGACAGUGGAUACUUUCGAUUCGGCCAGGGGAGAGUAAGACACAAUCUUAGCACCUGGAUUCUCAGAAUAAUAGAAUGCUGACAGAAUGAUGGACAUUGGAUUCUGAGAAGACUACAUCUGGCAAAACAACAACCACCACCCACCGCCACCGUUUGGAUUAUGGGAGAGGGGGGCAGACUGGAGCUUGACUGCUGGAUAGUCUUAGAUUUUGAUCAAAUUAUAGCUACAUUGACCUGCUUCUGGGACCUGAAUCAGUCCAUUUGGAUGCUUUGUUUUCAGCAUGCCACGCCCAUUCCCUCCUUCCACUAGAGUCAACUUUCUGCCCAUUAUCAGCAGGAAGCAGCUUUGAUUGAGACCAUAGCCCCUGCUCCUAAUGUACUUUGGACUUUGAUAUGGGAGAACUGCAAAGUGGUUGAUGAAUGACUGUUAAAUCCUGGCUGGGUCAUUUAUUACUGUGUGUUUGAUUUUCGAUGGAAAUUGCUAAAAUUUUAUAUGUUUAUAAUAUGUAUCUGCAUUAUGUACUUGGUUACUAUAUGUUCCCUUCAGAACAUGUAAUUGUUUGAGGGAUCUUUAGAAAACCCCUAUUGUACUAGUCUAUAUAUAGGAACUUUAAUUCACUCUCAGGACUUAUACAUGGGAUAGUUUCUUGAAAAUUUAUUUAUUCCUCCUUGGAUGAUUCCUGCAAUUAAAAAAAAAAAAAAAAA
This is a long non-coding RNA of Sarcophilus harrisii (Tasmanian devil), 968 nucleotides long. RefSeq lists it as uncharacterized. The record is from RefSeq and is a predicted model, not a curated record. The transcript has 4 exons. Lineage: Eukaryota; Metazoa; Chordata; Mammalia; Dasyuromorphia; Dasyuridae.